AUGAAGGGAUCAAGAAAGCCCUUCUGGACAAGAGCCUCAUCCUGGUGUGGGGACUGUGGACAUCUAUGUCACUGGAAUAGAACCUCUGCUGGGCUCUGGCCUUCUGCAAAGUCACUGGGUAGAGAUGGGCCUUGUGUAUGUGCAUGCUGGCUCAGGACAGAGAGGCUCUCCAAAGGAGCCCCCAAAGUGACCCGCCUGGGUGCCAGGGAAGCAUUUGGUUGGCAAGAUGUCCUCACUGUGGAAAUCUGGAAUCCUGGAAAUAUUGAAGAAAGCAUUGACAUUAUGAGUGUGUGUGUGCGGGAGGAUCUGAGCACAUGAUUUCAUUGAGAUAGCAACGUCCUCGUGUGGAAACUCCCUUCACAGAUGUAGAUGGGCAGCUGCUUGGUAACUCGGAAGCUUAGAGAAUCCCUUGAGGCCCUGGGAAGUCCUCCACCUUGCCCAGGGUUGGACAGUGUUGUCUGUCACCAGAGGUCCAGGAGGGACUUUUCUCUGAGGUGGCCCUGAGAUAAUCUCCUAGGCUGUAGCAACUCUACAGGAAGAGUUCUAGAAGUUGCAGAAGGUAUGAAUCAGCCCUGGUGGAAGGAUGGGUGCUGCCAACAAAAAUCACAUGUCCUUGAAGGAUGAGUGUAGAGCAGCACAGUGUUCUACGCUGAGGAGGUUAUGCAGGGGAGGACGGGAUGGUAUGAUGUGGGGUGGUUCAUCCUACCCCAGCGUAGCAUAGGAACCCGUGUGUGCUCUGGAUCAAAGCAGAAGUCGAGGUAGAUCAAAUAGAAUCCUCAAGGGUCGAGGUUGUGCAACGCUAUGCUAGCUUAUACUCAUGUCCCCCUCAUAUUACAUUAUGCUGUUUUUAAAAAUGAUUUUAUUUCCAUGAACAGAAAUCUAUUUUUCCUCCUCUCUUGGAAGAGACAAAAGAAAAAAGCAGCAAAUACAGAUAGUGACACAUCUUAGCAAACACGGCCCAACAAAACAAACACCCAAAUUGGCCGUGUCCAAAAUGCCCGUCCCAUUCCGUACCCUGAGUGUGUCAGCUCUCUGCGAGAAGGUGAGUACUUUGCUUUAUCGUCGAUUCUCGGGAAUCAUGGCUGAUCACCAAAUUAAUCCAAAUUUUUAAGUCUUUCAGGAUUGUUUUGUCUCUACAAUGUUGUUAUUUCUGUAUAAAUUAUCCUGCCUCUGCAGAUUUCGCUCUGCAUCAGUUCUCACAGGUCUUCUGAGAUUUCUGUCAGAUCAUCCUUCUCAUCAUACCUUACAUCCUGAUAUCAUUCCAUUACAUUCUUACACCACAAAUCAUUCAGUUAUUCCUUAAUGGAUGGGCACCCCCUCAGUUUCCCAGUUCUUUGCAACUACAAAAAAAAAAAAGCUGUUACAGUUUUGAAUGCAUGGCUCCUUUUCUUCUUUUGUUUUGUAUAAUCCUAGCAGUGGCAUUGCUGGCUCUGAGGCUGUAUAGAGUUUUUAGUGACUUCAGGGGCCAUAAUUCUAAACUACUUUCCAGAAUGGCAGCUCCACCAACCAACUUUUGGUCAUUUUCCUUUUUUUGGUACACUUUGCCAAUAUGUGAAGUAGGGAGAACCUCAGAGUUGUUUUAAUUUGUUUUUCUCUAAUUAUUAAUGAUUUACAGCUUUUUAAAUAUAUGGCUAUUAAUAGUAUCUGAAGUCAGGAAGACCCAAGUUCAAAUGUGACCUCAGACACUUAGUAGCUGUAUGACCUGGGCAAGUCGCUUAAUUCUGUUUGCCUCAGUUUUCUCAUCUCUCAAAUGAGCUGAAGAAGAAAUAGCAAACCAUUCCAGUAUCUUUGGCAAGAAAACCUCCCCAAAGGGUCAUAAACAGUUGGACAUAGCUGAAAACUGCUGAACAGCAACCACUAAUAGCUUGGCUUUCUUCCUUAGAAAAGAGUGAAUUGAUAUCUUAAAUAUUUAGCCCUUGAGGGAUGGCUUUCAUUCUUGUAAAUUCGAGUCAGUUCCUUAUGUAUCUUGGAAAUGGGGCCUUUCAUCAGAGGAACUUGUCGCAAAGAUUUUUCUUUUCCCUCAGAGCCUUGUUUCUCUUCUAAUUUCAGCUACACUGGUGUUGUCUGUACAAACUCUUUUCAAUUUUGACAUAACCAAAAUUGUCCGUGUUAUCUUUUGUGAUCUUCUCUGCCUCUCAUUUUGUCGUUUACUGUGCACAUAUCCAAGGAUAGGAAAGGUGAUUUCUUCCUUGCUUCUCUAAUCUCUGAAGUUACCCUUUAUGUGGGUAAGUUGGUUAUGUUAUAGUAUGUGGUUGUAAGCUGGGUUAUUUUAUGUUACAUUAUGUUACAUUUUUUUUGUUAUGGCAGAUGCCAUGACCAUCAUCACAUCACAGCAUGUCAUAUCGCAGUAUGCCAUGUCAUACCAAGUCAUGUAGUGUGUUAUGUUAUACAACAGCAGUUGACUACUCCAUUAGAAAACAUUUCAAAGCUUUCUAGAAUGGAGGAAAGACAUUUUGGGAGGAGAUAGAAAUGAUUCUUGGACUUUCUAAAACUGCAUUUGAAAUGGAGAGAAAAAAAGUUACCCCAAACCUUUGAUUUCACAAGGAUCACAGUGACUGCAUCUUGAGGCCGUGAUCAGGCAUAGGAGAAAGAGACUGGAUAGGGUAAGAAGGCUAAUAAGCCAAGUUACCAUGAAAACCAAAAAAAGCCCACACAAUCCUAGGAUAUUGUUAACAGCAGCCGGUAGCCAGGGUCCAUCUUGAGGACUGACUUGAAGGAUUAAUGGUGGCUCCCUGGUUGUCUCCCAGCAGAGGCUGGGCACCUGCUUGUUGGAGAAACUUGGAUCUCCUCCGAGGGCCCUCCAAGGCUAAGACUGAGUGGUCAGUGGUCUGGUCUGAGUGUGACCCUUUAAGAGGGGCAUUGACACUUAGAACGUGUCUAAAGGAAAAUAAUGGAACUUGACGCAGACUCAAAGCACUGUCUUAUUCACAGCACAUGAAGGAACUUGGAAUAGUUAGCUGGGAGAGGUACUUAGUAGGACCAUGUGUGUGAACUGUCUUUGGCAUAUAAAGGGUUUCUUUCCUAAUAAUUAGAACUGACAGAAAAUGGGAUGGGCUGCAUUGUGUCUGGUGAAUGGGUUGCCCAUCACUAGACGUAUUCAAGCAGAGGGGUCUCGUGGCCAUUUACUGGGGGAUGAUGUUAAAGUCCCUUCUUACCUGGAGAUCCUCUGGUUCUACCUUGUUCUUGAGCAGUCUUUCAUUGAUUUACAGUUGCUGAUGAAUAAAUCUCUUUUCUUGUGCUGGAGGGAGGAAAGU
Phascolarctos cinereus (koala) is the source of this 3254-nucleotide long non-coding RNA. The record is from Ensembl. Lineage: Eukaryota; Metazoa; Chordata; Mammalia; Diprotodontia; Phascolarctidae.